UGCUGUUCCACCCAAUGCAACUCUCCAUAUUACUCUGGAGUUGGUUUCAUGGAAAACUGUGUCAGAGGUGAUCAGUGACAAGAAGGUUAUAAAGAAAAUCCUAAAGGAGGGCGAGGGAUAUGAGCGUCCAAGUGGCGGAGCUGUCGUCAAAUUAAAAUUGAUUGGGAAGUUGCAAGAUGGAACAGUAUUUCUGAAGAAGGGGCACAAUAACGAGGAUGAACUGUUUGAAUUUAAAACAGAUGAGGAGCAAGUAAUUGAUGGGCUUGAUAGAGCUGUGAUGUUAAUGAAGAAGGGUGAGGU
This 300-nucleotide unclassified non-coding RNA is filed under the name Hevea brasiliensis (rubber tree). Lineage: Eukaryota; Viridiplantae; Streptophyta; Magnoliopsida; Malpighiales; Euphorbiaceae. The record is from RNAcentral.